Molecule: ribosomal RNA, 498 nt
Filed under: uncultured bacterium
Lineage: Bacteria
Description: partial 16S ribosomal RNA
Rfam family: Bacterial small subunit ribosomal RNA
Source: RNAcentral
GAUGAACGCUGGCGGCGUGCCUAAUACAUGCAAGUCGAGCGAACAGACGAGGAGCUUGCUCCUCUGACGUUAGCGGCGGACGGGUGAGUAACACGUGGAUAACCUACCUAUAAGACUGGGAUAACUUCGGGAAACCGGAGCUAAUACCGGAUAAUAUAUUGAACCGCAUGGUUCAAUAGUGAAAGACGGUUUUGCUGUCACUUAUAGAUGGAUCCGCGCCGCAUUAGCUAGUUGGUAAGGUAACGGCUUACCAAGGCAACGAUGCGUAGCCGACCUGAGAGGGUGAUCGGCCACACUGGAACUGAGACACGGUCCAGACUCCUACGGGAGGCAGCAGUAGGGAAUCUUCCGCAAUGGGCGAAAGCCUGACGGAGCAACGCCGCGUGAGUGAUGAAGGUCUUCGGAUCGUAAAACUCUGUUAUUAGGGAAGAACAAAUGUGUAAGUAACGAUGCACGUCUUGACGGUACCUAAUCAGAAAGCCACGGCUAACUACGUGC